This is a small nucleolar RNA of Leptinotarsa decemlineata (Colorado potato beetle), 69 nucleotides long. NCBI's taxonomy places the organism in Eukaryota, Metazoa, Arthropoda, Insecta, Coleoptera, Chrysomelidae. The record is from RefSeq and is a predicted model, not a curated record.
ACUUCAAAUGAUGAUUUCUAUUACCGCCCCAGUCUGAUUUUUGUGACUGAUUGGUGAUUCUGAUUGAUU